Molecule: unclassified non-coding RNA, 96 nt
Organism: Aotus nancymaae (Ma's night monkey)
Lineage: Eukaryota; Metazoa; Chordata; Mammalia; Primates; Aotidae
Rfam family: Y RNA
About the family: Y RNAs are components of the Ro ribonucleoprotein particle (Ro RNP), in association with Ro60 and La proteins.
Source: Ensembl
GGCUUGUCCGAUGGUAGUGGUUUAUCAGAACUUAUUAACAUUAGUGUCACUAAAGUUGGUAUAUAACCCCCCACUGCUAAAUUAGACUGGCUUAAA